RNAcentral lists this ribosomal RNA (375 nucleotides) under Dermacentor sp. PG254. RNAcentral describes it as "SSU rRNA". It matches the Rfam family "Eukaryotic small subunit ribosomal RNA", at positions 729 to 1104 of the family's 1831-position model. The record is from RNAcentral. RNAcentral also lists the same sequence under 4 other names. Lineage: Eukaryota; Metazoa; Arthropoda; Arachnida; Ixodida; Ixodidae.
GUGCCUCGAGAAGGCCGGUGCUUUUACUUUGAAAAAAUUAGAGUGCUCAACGCAGGCGAGUCGCCUGAAUAAACUUGCAUGGAAUAAUAGAACAAGACCUCGUUUCUGUUCUGUUGGUUUUUGGAAUACGAGGUAAUGAUUAAGAGGGACAGACGGGGGCAUUCGUAUUGCGGCGCUAGAGGUGAAAUUCUUGGACCGUCGCAAGACGAACUACUGCGAAAGCAUUUGCCAAGAAUGUUUUCUUUGAUCAAGAACGAAAGUCAGAGGUUCGAAGGCGAUCAGAUACCGCCCUAGUUCUGACCAUAAACGAUGCCAACCAGCGAUCCGCCUGAGUUACUCAAAUGACUCGGCGGGCAGCUUCCGGGAAACCAAAGU